AUGAUUCAGCUUCCAUCUUCAUUUGAAUCGUUUUAUUCGUCGCUUGCAUCACCGACAAAAUUAACCUCGUCUCAAUUCCAUUUCAACUCGUCAGCACGUUCUCAUUUGUCUCUUCUUCUCCGAAUAUCAAAGAUUAGGGAAAAUAGGUCGGAGGAACAAAACUCGUGUACAUCUCGUUUUCGAUUCAAUAAAAUUCUUCUACUUCUCUGA
Molecule: non-coding RNA, 210 nt
Organism: Vicia faba (fava bean)
Lineage: Eukaryota; Viridiplantae; Streptophyta; Magnoliopsida; Fabales; Fabaceae
Source: the annotation of a GenBank genome assembly